This 1889-nucleotide unclassified non-coding RNA is filed under the name Pectinophora gossypiella (pink bollworm). RNAcentral's name for it is "zinc finger protein ZFP2-like". The record is from RNAcentral. Lineage: Eukaryota; Metazoa; Arthropoda; Insecta; Lepidoptera; Gelechiidae.
AGAAAAUGAGUAUGUAUAACCUCCACGGGGAUAUUUUAGAUGACGAUGAACUGUUUACGUUAGAGAGAUUUGUGCACAAAAAUAUAAAUGAAAUUCUCGACGCCAUGGCAGGGACUCAACAACAUAGAUUCGUCAAUGUCGUGCCCAACGUUAAAAUUAAGAAGGAGGUCUUAUCCUCGGAUGAUGAGAACUGUGUGUCCUGUCGAAUUUGCAACAAGAGUUUCGCCAGCGACAUGGCGCUGCGGAACCACGCGCGAAUGGAGCACAUAGACGCCUACGCCACCGGAGAUCCGUCAUCGUGGACGCAGCCUGAGGUCAAGAAACCGUCUAAGGAGAGUCAAGAGCAGAUGAUAAAGCUUAAAACUGAGAAGAUAAUUUCAUCCAUGGCACCAGCUGACCUGAUGACCCUCGCUUCAGAUGAUGUCAGCUACAUCAUCAUCAAGGCGGAGAAUCCUCCAGAGAGCCAGCCGAGGAAGAGAAAGUCGGAGACAGAGAAGGUGGAGAAGGUACCAGCGAAGAAAGAUAGGGAAAAGGAAAAAGAAGUUAGACCUAUCACCGGGCCUUUCGAGUGUCUGCAGCCGUCGACCCUGGUGGCUGACGGCACGUGCCACCAGAUAUUCUUCUCGUGCUGCGAGUACUCCGCGCACUUCCGGGACGAGCACACGCGGCGCCGCAAGGGCCUCCGCUGCCAGGUCUGCGAGAAACCUCUAGUGGCGUCAUACGAGCCCCUAGCGCCGUAUAGCUGUGUCGUGUGUGGCGCUGGGUUCCAGACCAGCAAGGAGUUGUCUGACCACAAGGCCACCGACCACAUCAAGCUGAAGCCGUUCCAGUGCGGCGUCUGCCUCAAGCGGUUCACGCAACAGGGCGGCGUUCAACAACACAUGCGCAUGCACACGGGCGAUAGGCCAUUCCACUGCACCUUCUGCCCGAAGUCCUUCACACAGAAGUCAGGGCUGGACCAGCACCUGCGCAUACACACGAAAAUGAAGCCGUACCGCUGCGUGAUCUGCUCCAAGAGCUUUUGCCAGUCCGUGCACCUGCGGCAGCAUAUGCGCACGCACACCAACGUGUCGCCCUUCCAGUGCGGCAUCUGCCAGAAGAGAUUCAAACAGAGUUCGCAUCUCAACUACCACCUCAAGAACCACAACCAGGUGAACAUGACGGAGGACCAGAAGACGGAGUACAAGAAACUGAUAUCACUCAUGAACCUCGAAAACAAGAAGGACGUGUACGUCUACGAUGGCAACAAAGUGCGGUUGGAGUACGAGAACCAGGUGGUGCACGAACAAGAGAUAGAAGGUGAACAGAUGGAGAUGGGAGAAGAGGAGAUAGAGCAGGAAGUGGAGGAAGAGGUGGAAACAGUCGAGGCUGAGGUGUUACUGGAGGAGCAAGAGACGAUAGAUGAUGAGGAGCAGAUCCUGGCUGAACAAAGCAUACAAGUCCAAGAGGAAGGAGGCGAAACAUAUAUACUAGGAGACGUCAUAUACGAAUAAACAAACGUAACAAUGGCCCCGAUUCCUGCAGACACCUCCUAAUUUUACUUCAAGUUAUACCUGUCAUUUUCUUAUCCGCCGAAAAGGAAAGGGACGGAUGAUUGACAGCUCUUAAUUUUAGGAAGAAUGAGUAAAUGAAUGAAUAACCCAGGCGAAUCAAAAAGGUACGUCGCUGGUAUGCAAUCCGUUUGACGUGCUGUCUACUUAACUGUGUCGGGUUAUUGACGGAUGUAAAAUUUUUAGACGGUUGGUUUAGAUUUGUGCUUAAAAUUGACGUGUGUUCCAUAAAUUUUAUGCUUGUCGAUUACCCGUCCCUUUCCUUUUCGGCGGAUAAGAAAAUGACAGAUAUAACUUAAAAUAAAAUUAGAUGGUAUUUACAGGAAUUAGCACCAUUAU